RNAcentral lists this ribosomal RNA (606 nucleotides) under uncultured bacterium. Its description in RNAcentral is "bacterial SSU rRNA". It matches the Rfam family "Bacterial small subunit ribosomal RNA", at positions 244 to 850 of the family's 1533-position model. The record is from RNAcentral.
GCUUGUUGGUAGGGUAACGGCCUACCAAGGCUACGAUCAGUAGGGGUUCUGAGAGGAUUAACCCCCACACUGGUACUGAGACACGGACCAGACUCCUACGGGAGGCAGCAGUGAGGAAUAUCGGUCAAUGGGCGGAAGCCUGAACCAGCCAUCCCGCGUGAAGGAAGACAGCCUUACGGGUUGUAAACUUCUUUUCUGUCAGAAGAAUAAGCUUGUCGAGACGAGUGAUGCCGGUAUGACAGGAAUAAGCAUCGGCUAACUCCGUGCCAGCAGCCGCGGUAAUACGGAGGAUGCAAGCGUUAUCCGGAUUUAUUGGGUUUAAAGGGUGCGCAGGUUGUUUGAUAAGUCAGUGGUGAAAGUCUGUCGCUUAACGGUAGGAUUGCCAUUGAUACUGUUGGACUUGAAUAUGGAUGAGGUAGGCGGAAUGUGUAGUGUAGCGGUGAAAUGCAUAGAUAUUACACAGAACACCGAUUGCGAAGGCAGCUUACUAAUCCAUCAUUGACGCUGAGGCACGAAAGCGUGGGGAUCAAACAGGAUUAGAUACCCUGGUAGUCCACGCCGUAAACGAUGAUCACUCGCUGUUUGCGAUAUACAGUAAGCGGCUAA